Pygocentrus nattereri (red-bellied piranha) is the source of this 525-nucleotide long non-coding RNA. RefSeq lists it as uncharacterized. NCBI's taxonomy places the organism in Eukaryota, Metazoa, Chordata, Actinopteri, Characiformes, Serrasalmidae. The transcript has 2 exons. The record is from RefSeq and is a predicted model, not a curated record.
ACGCGGACAUUGCAGCUCCCUCCCUCUCAGCUUCAUUCAUAAAAAUACCACCAGAGAGAGAGACAGCGAGAGACAGAGGCGCUGCUGUAAACACAGGAACAUCUCGCUUGCUCGGCAACAGAUUUAGUUUCGAUGUUGUGUAGGAGAGGACUUUCAGUGGGCGUGGCCACGUGGUUUGGAACAACGUGAUUGGCAGAUCCGGUACCGCCCACCCGAGAGCGCCUUCUUGCUGCUUUUGUUCUCACACUGACAUCAUUUUGGAAAAAACUGCACACAAAACGCCGUCCAAGGCAUUUAAUACGAAUCAUCACUUUUAUAACGUUUUUAACCCUUUCAUGCACAACUACAUUUAGCACGUGACUGAUAAAAUGGACUGAUAAAAUGGUAUAGGUGUCCCUUGGAUGAACAUGUUAACAGCCUCCAUCAGAAACUUUUGAUUGCAUGUAAUUGUCAUAUUUUUAUUCUGAGUCAUAUUUGGAUUUUCUGUUGUUUUGUGAAAUAAAACUGGAAAAUUUGACAAGAAAA